CCCGGACUCAGUAAAAUCAACUGUUAGACUUUUUGCUGAUGAUUGUCUGCUAUACAGAAAUAUAAAAACACAACGGGACCACACACUGUUACAACAAGAUCUGGUUAGCCUAGAAAAAUGGGCCAAAGACUGGGGUAUGCGCUUCAAUGCAAAGAAAUGUUACAUCCUGAGCAUUAAGAACAAAAGCCAGAAGUUCUAUACCCUUGAUGGACACAUACUCCAACAGGUCAAACACAAUCCAUACCUGGGACUACAGAUAUCGGACGAUCUGAAAUGGACCACCCACAUUUCAAAUGUAACUAAGAAAGCAAAUUCUACACUAGGCUUUCUUAGACGAAAUCUAAGAUUCUGCCCAAAAGACUGCAAGAAAACAGCAUACAUUUCAUUGGUGAGAUCUACGAUGGAAUAUGGGGCAAUUGUAUGGGACCCUUAUACAUCAAAC
Molecule: long non-coding RNA, 442 nt
Filed under: Mytilus galloprovincialis (Mediterranean mussel)
Lineage: Eukaryota; Metazoa; Mollusca; Bivalvia; Mytilida; Mytilidae
Source: RNAcentral